This 253-nucleotide ribosomal RNA is filed under the name uncultured bacterium. Its description in RNAcentral is "partial 16S ribosomal RNA". It matches the Rfam family "Bacterial small subunit ribosomal RNA", at positions 524 to 776 of the family's 1533-position model. The record is from RNAcentral. RNAcentral also lists the same sequence under 1 other name.
CACGUAGGAUCCGAGCGUUAUCCGAAUUUACUGGGCGUAAAGCGUGUGCAGGCGGUUUGGUAAGUUGGAUGUGAAAGCUCCUGGCUCAACUGGGAGAGGCCGUUCAAUACUACCAAACUUGAGGAUGGUAGAGGGAGGUAGAAUUCCCGGUGUAGUAGUGAAAUGCGUAGAUAUCGGGAGGAAUACCAGUGGCGAAGGCGGCCUCCUGGACCAUUCCUGACGCUCAGACACGAAAGCUAGGGUAGCGAAUGGG